This 620-nucleotide long non-coding RNA is filed under the name Nicotiana benthamiana. RNAcentral describes it as "long non-coding RNA (NBEN_LNC039662)". Lineage: Eukaryota; Viridiplantae; Streptophyta; Magnoliopsida; Solanales; Solanaceae. The record is from RNAcentral.
CUAGCACAAGUCUGUCCGAUUUAGCCUUUAUUUGUCUAUCUGAAGCUUGUUUCAUUUCGAGUUUUCUAGGUUUUUUGAAUUCUUGCUUUUUGCCGACGAUUUUUCCGGCGACCCCAGCUCUUUUCUUCCUAUUCUCUCAUCUGCUUUUGUGGGUGUGUGUGGGUGUGUUCUGUUUUCUUGGACAGGUGCCUUAUUUUUCCGGCGAGGAUUUCCGGCAAGCUACAGUACUUCCGGCGACUCCCGCUCGCUUUCUUUCUUUUCUUCCUAUUCUCUCAUCUGCUUUUGUGGGUGUGUGUGGGUGUGUUCUGUUUUCUUGGACAGGUGCCUUAUUUUUCCGGCGAGGAUUUCCGGCAAGCUAUACUACUUCAGGCGACUACACGUUCAGACUUUCGGCAGGACGCAACAGAACUACACGUUCCAAUAAGCUUCACGAAAACUUGCACUAGCUACUAGUCGCGGCGGUGAGGCCAGCUCGCGGCGUUUGGGAGUGAAGAGCUAAACAACACCGGCCGGGACGUUCAAGAGUCGGUAGCAGUUGACCUUGGGCGCAUCAAAGCCUACUUUCAGGUUUUUCCUCCUGGAGUUGGUACCUCCUUGUUGCGGGCCGCUCAAUUUGAUAG